GACGAACGCUGGCGGCGUGCUUAACACAUGCAAGUCGAACGGAAAGGCCCUGCUUUUGUGGGGUGCUCGAGUGGCGAACGGGUGAGUAACACGUGAGUAACCUGCCCUUGACUUUGGGAUAACUUCAGGAAACUGGGGCUAAUACCGGAUAGGAGCUCCUGCUGCAUGGUGGGGGUUGGAAAGUUUCGGCGGUUGGGGAUGGACUCGCGGCUUAUCAGCUUGUUGGUGGGGUAGUGGCUUACCAAGGCUUUGACGGGUAGCCGGCCUGAGAGGGUGACCGGCCACAUUGGGACUGAGAUACGGCCAAGACUCCUACGGGAGGCAGCAGUGGGGAAUAUUGCACAAUGGGCGGAAGCCUGAUACAGCAACGCCGCGUGCGGGAUGACGGCCUUCGGGUUGUAAACCGCUUUCGCCUGUGACGAAGCGUGAGUGACGGUAAUGGGUAAAGAAGCACCGGCUAACUACGUG
Molecule: ribosomal RNA, 468 nt
Filed under: uncultured bacterium
Lineage: Bacteria
Description: partial 16S ribosomal RNA
Rfam family: Bacterial small subunit ribosomal RNA
Source: RNAcentral